CAAAAACAUGUCCUUUUGAGUUUAAUUAAAGGUCUGACCUGCCCAGUGAUGAUUUUAACGGCCGCGGUAUACUGACCGUGCAAAGGUAGCAUAAUCAUUAGUCUUUUAAUAGAGGGCUGGAAUGAAAGGUUUAACGAGGAACUGACUGUCUCAUUUUAUUUGUUUUAGAAUUUAAUUUUUUAGUUAAAAAGCUAAAAUUUUAUUGGAAGACGAGAAGACCCUAUAGAUCUUUAUAUAACUUAAUAUAAUUAUUUAUAUAUUAUUAUAUUUAUAUUAAUUUGUAUUUUGNUGGGGUGACAAGAAUAAAAAUUAACUUUUUUAUUUAUUUUACAUUGAUUUAUGAAUACUAGAUCCAUUAUUAUUGAUUAUUAGAUUAAGUUACCUUAGGGAUAACAGCGUAAUCCUUCUCCAGAGUUCAUAUUUACAGAAGGGCUUGCGACCUCCAUGUUGGAUUAAGAUAAUAAUUAGGUGUAGCCGCUUAAUUUAUAGGUCUGUUCGACUUUAAAUUCUUACAUGAUCUGAG
This 523-nucleotide ribosomal RNA is filed under the name Plathemis lydia. RNAcentral's name for it is "partial 16S ribosomal RNA". It matches the Rfam family "Bacterial large subunit ribosomal RNA", at positions 1808 to 2609 of the family's 2925-position model. Lineage: Eukaryota; Metazoa; Arthropoda; Insecta; Odonata; Libellulidae. The record is from RNAcentral.